AAAAUAGACGGGAUAGCUACCCGUUCCGCGAUCGCGGUUGGGAGGAAAGUCCGAGCUCUAAAGGGCAGCGCAGCGGCUAAUAACCGCCACCUGCAGCCUUAAGGCUGCAGGGAGGAAUAGAGCCACAGAGACGAGUCCCGCCGUUUGAACUUCGGCGGGGGUGAAACGCGGUAAUCUCUGCGCAGAGCAAUGUCAAGUAGGUCCUGACGUCCCCGCGCCAAGAUCAUAUGAUUUCGGUGCGAGGAAUAGAGUGGUCCGCUCGAAGAUUGUCAGGACGGGUUGACUGCGAGAGCUGGCGGAGCGAUCUACCGGCUAAGUCAAAUGGCUAUCACCCCCACACUGUGGGGGGACAGAACUCGGCUUAUACGUCUAUUUUGGGU
This 380-nucleotide RNase P RNA is filed under the name Candidatus Omnitrophota bacterium. RNAcentral's name for it is "Candidatus Omnitrophica bacterium RNase P RNA component class A". It matches the Rfam family "Bacterial RNase P class A". Rfam says of the family: Ribonuclease P (RNase P) is a ubiquitous endoribonuclease, found in archaea, bacteria and eukarya as well as chloroplasts and mitochondria. Its best characterised activity is the generation of mature 5'-ends of tRNAs by cleaving the 5'-leader elements of precursor-tRNAs. The record is from RNAcentral. Lineage: Bacteria; Pseudomonadati; Candidatus Omnitrophota.